Esox lucius (northern pike) is the source of this 72-nucleotide small nucleolar RNA. Ensembl annotates it as small nucleolar RNA R38. The record is from Ensembl. NCBI's taxonomy places the organism in Eukaryota, Metazoa, Chordata, Actinopteri, Esociformes, Esocidae.
ACAAGUCUGUGAUGAAACAAGUUAUCCCUGUCUGAACAGCAGUGUUGACUUAUUGAAACCCCUGAGACUUGA